Molecule: ribosomal RNA, 1345 nt
Filed under: uncultured organism
Description: bacterial SSU rRNA
Rfam family: Bacterial small subunit ribosomal RNA
Source: RNAcentral
CGAGCGGAGAUUGCAUUUAUGUAAUCUUAGCGGCGGACGGGUGAGUAACGCGUAUGCAACCUGCCUUGCACAGAGGGAUAACACCGGGAAACUGGUGCUAAUACCACAUGAUAUCAUAACAAUGCAUCUUGAAAUGAUCAAAGGAGAAAUCCGGUGCAAGAUGGGCCUGCGUCCGAUUAGUUAGUUGGUGAGGUAACGGCUCACCAAUGCGACGAUCGGUAGCCGAACUGAGAGUGUUGAUCGGCCACAUUGGGACUGAGACACGUGCCCAGACUCCUACGUGGAGUGCAGCAGUGGGGAAUAUUGCGCAAUGGGGGGAACCCUGACGCAGCAACGCCGCGUGAAUGAAGAAGUGCCUUCGGGUUGUAAACUUUUUUGAUUUGGGGAAGAAAAAAAUGACGUGUACCCAAUGAACAAGCCACGGCUAACUACGUGCCAGCAGCCGCGGUAAUACGUAGGUGGCGAGCGUUGUCCGGAAUUACUUGGGCGUAAAGGGCGUGUAGGCGGGAUUGUAAGUCAGAUGUGAAAUUCCAGGGCUUAACUCUGGAGGUGCAUCUGAAACUAUAAUUCUUGAGUGCUGGAGAGGAAAGCGGAAUUCCUAGUGUGGCGGUGAAAUGCGUAGAUAUUAGGAAGAACACCAGUGGCGAAGGCGGCUUUCUGGACAGUAACUGACGCUGAGGCGCGAAAGCGUGGGGAGCAAACAGGAUUAGAUACCCUGGUAGUCCACGCUGUAAACGAUGGAUACUAGGUGUAGGAGGUAUCGACCCCUUCUGUGCCGGAGUUAACACAAUAAGUAUCCCACCUGGGGAGUACGGCCGCAAGGCUGAAACUCAAAGGAAUUGACGGGGGCCCGCACAAGCAGUGGAGUAUGUGGUUUAAUUCGAAGCAACGCGAAGAACCUUACCAGGGCUUGACAUCCCUCGGAUAACAUAGAGAUAUGUUAGUCCUUCGGGACGAGGAGACAGGUGGUGCAUGGUUGUCGUCAGCUCGUGUCGUGAGGUGUUGGGUUAAGUCCCGCAACGAGCGCAACCCCUAUUGUUAGUUGCCAUCAUUAAGUUGGGCACUCUAACGAGACUGCCGGUGACAAAUCGGAGGAAGGUGGGGACGACGUCAAAUCAUCAUGCCCCUUAUGUCCUGGGCUACGCACGUACUACAAUGGUCACUACAAAGGGAAGCAAUACCGCAAGGAGGAGCAAAUCCCCAAAGGUGACCUCAGUUCGGAUUGUGGGCUGAAACCCGCCCACAUGAAGUCGGAAUUGCUAGUAAUGGCAGGUCAGCAUACUGUCGUGAAUACGUUCCCGGGCCUUGUACACACCGCCCGUCACACCAUGAGAGUUUGCAACAC